GGAUUUUCAUACUAAUUCCUAGAA
Molecule: microRNA, 24 nt
Filed under: Solanum tuberosum (potato)
Lineage: Eukaryota; Viridiplantae; Streptophyta; Magnoliopsida; Solanales; Solanaceae
Description: stu-miR8001b-3p
Source: miRBase by way of RNAcentral